This 497-nucleotide ribosomal RNA is filed under the name uncultured bacterium. RNAcentral's name for it is "partial 16S ribosomal RNA". It matches the Rfam family "Bacterial small subunit ribosomal RNA", at positions 28 to 507 of the family's 1533-position model. The record is from RNAcentral.
GAUGAACGCUGGCGGCGUGCCUAAUACAUGCAAGUCGAGCGAACAGACGAGGAGCUUUCUCCUCUUACGUUAUCGGCGGACGUGUGAGUAACACGUGUAUAACCUACCUAUAAGACUGGGAUAACUUCGUGAAACCGGAGCUAAUACCGGAUAAUAUAUUGAACCGCAUGGUUCAAUAGUGAAAUACGGUUUUGCUGUCACUUAUAGAUGGAUCCGCGCCGCAUUAGCUAGUUGGUAAGGUAACGGCUUACCAAGGCAACGAUGCGUAGCCGACCUGAGAGGGUGAUCGGCCACACUGGAACUGAGACACGGUCCAGACUCCUACGGGAGGCAGCAGUAGGGAAUCUUACGCAAUGGGCGAAAGCAUGACGGAGCAACGCCGCGUGAGUGAUGAAGGUCUUCGGAUCGUAAAACUCUGUUAUUAGGGAAGAACAAAUGUGUAAGUAACUAUGCACGUCUUGACGGUACCUAAUCAGAAAGCCACGGCUAACUACGUG